Long non-coding RNA from Mustela lutreola (European mink), 295 nucleotides. RefSeq lists it as uncharacterized. The transcript is spliced from 3 exons. NCBI's taxonomy places the organism in Eukaryota, Metazoa, Chordata, Mammalia, Carnivora, Mustelidae. The record is from RefSeq and is a predicted model, not a curated record.
UCAGACAGUCCAAGGAGAUGCGCCGGCAAAGCUGUAUUUCCAAGAGCUGCAAACGGUUGAAUGUGGCCGGAGCAGAAUGCUUCAGAAUCCCGGGAGAGGCUGUUGAAGAGUGGUUUGGACUGGGACGCCUGGCUGACUCAGUCGUGGGACUCUUGAUCACUCCAUACCCAGUUUGGAGCCCAGUGUGGGGCUUGAACUCACCACCCUCUGAUCAAGACCCGAGCUGAGAUCAAGAGUCGGAUGCUUCACCCUCGGAGCCACUCAAGUGUCCCAGUACUUUUGUUUCCUUUGAAUA